GACGAACGCUGGCGGCGUGCCUAAUACAUGCAAGUCGAACGCACUCUCGUUUAGAUUGAAGGAGCUUGCUCCUGAUUGAUAAACAUUUGAGUGAGUGGCGGACGGGUGAGUAACACGUGGGUAACCUGCCCUAAAGUGGGGGAUAACAUUUGGAAACAGAUGCUAAUACCGCAUAAAACCUAAACACCGCAUGGUGUAGGGUUGAAAGAUGGUUUCGGCUAUCACUUUAGGAUGGACCCGCGGUGCAUUAGUUAGUUGGUGAGGUAAAGGCUCACCAAGACCGUGAUGCAUAGCCGACCUGAGAGGGUAAUCGGCCACACUGGAACUGAGACACGGCCCAGACUCCUACGGGAGGCAGCAGUAGGGAAUCUUCCACAAUGGACGAAAGUACUGAUGGAGCAACGCCGCGUGAGUGAAGAAGGUUUUCGGAUCGUAAAACUCUGUUGCUGGAGAAGAAUGUAUCUGAUAGUAACUGAUCAGGUAGUGACGGUAUCCAACCAGAAA
This 504-nucleotide ribosomal RNA is filed under the name uncultured bacterium. Its description in RNAcentral is "bacterial SSU rRNA". It matches the Rfam family "Bacterial small subunit ribosomal RNA", at positions 28 to 489 of the family's 1533-position model. The record is from RNAcentral.